CAUACUGUGCAAUGACUGUGACAAGAAGGGCACUGCACCAUUCCAUUGGCUUUACCAUAAGUGCAGGUUUUGUGGAUCGUAUAAUACCAGGGUGAUCAAGGUUGAUUCAACAAAUUCAAUCUGCUCAACUUCGAACCAAUGAGGGCAUAGACUUCUGAUAGCUGGUGUAGGCGUGUAAAUACUGGCGUUGUAAAUCAUAUGCCAUUAAAUAGUUAAUUCAAUCUUUCAAUUUUUCCCCCCAGGCACAUAUUAUAUCUCAUGAUCUUUUGCUGUUUUUUACAUCAAGCUUGAUGUCUAUUACCAAAAAAAAAACUGCAAGCAAUAGGGAAUU
RNAcentral lists this unclassified non-coding RNA (331 nucleotides) under Hevea brasiliensis (rubber tree). Lineage: Eukaryota; Viridiplantae; Streptophyta; Magnoliopsida; Malpighiales; Euphorbiaceae. The record is from RNAcentral.